CAGUCGCCGCGGUAAUACAGAGGGUGCGAGCGUUAAUCGGAUUUACUGGGCGUAAAGCGUGCGUAGGCGGCUUCUUAAGUCGGAUGUGAAAUCCCUGAGCUUAACUUAGGAAUUGCAUUCGAUACUGGGAAGCUAGAGUAUGGGAGAGGAUGGUAGAAUUCCAGGUGUAGCGGUGAAAUGCGUAGAGAUCUGGAGGAAUACCGAUGGCGAAGGCAGCCAUCUGGCCUAAUACUGACGCUGAUGAGCGAAAGCGUGGGGAGCGAACAGGAUUAGAUACCCGGGUAGUCCCUGUCUCUUAUAC
RNAcentral lists this ribosomal RNA (301 nucleotides) under uncultured bacterium. Its description in RNAcentral is "partial 16S ribosomal RNA". It matches the Rfam family "Bacterial small subunit ribosomal RNA", at positions 509 to 807 of the family's 1533-position model. The record is from RNAcentral.